Long non-coding RNA from Sander lucioperca (pikeperch), 411 nucleotides. RefSeq lists it as uncharacterized. NCBI's taxonomy places the organism in Eukaryota, Metazoa, Chordata, Actinopteri, Perciformes, Percidae. The transcript is spliced from 2 exons. The record is from RefSeq and is a predicted model, not a curated record.
AGUGAGCUCCAGCGCGUCUCAGGACCGGCUAACUCCUGGCCUUCUCUCUCAGCCGGCGGACGGAAGGCCUCUCCGCCCACAGGCUCGUUUCUGCCGGCACACGGAGAGCAGUUCAGCGGCCUCCAGCCUCACCCGCACAGGAAAUGAUGGCACGAGGGCACCGUGAGCCUCGGCUGCUCCUGACGUUCCACCUCCGUCUUUCCAUCCUUUUGCCUUCAUCUUUCCCUCCAGCAGGCAAGUCGAUCUGUGGAGUUUUGUGCUCUCCUUCUCAAAACCGUUUCGCUAUGGAUAUCUUUGUGUCUUGUUUUUUUUUUUUCAUUUUUUCCCUAAUUGAGUUGUGUCCGCCGCUGUGGCCGUUUGUGCUGGACAGCGUUUGUUUGAAGGACUCCAGUGAGGCUGCCUUCUUCAGGU